UGGAUUUUUAUAUGUUGUGUACAA
Molecule: non-coding RNA, 24 nt
Filed under: Arabidopsis thaliana (thale cress)
Lineage: Eukaryota; Viridiplantae; Streptophyta; Magnoliopsida; Brassicales; Brassicaceae
Source: RNAcentral